CGCCUCUUGCACCCAUAUAAGAGGUCCAGCCUGCCCAGUGACUAAGUUCAACGGCCGCGGUAUCCUAACCGUGCGAAGGUAGCGUAAUCACUUGUUCUUUAAAUGAGGACUAGUAUGAAUGGCACCACGAGGGUUAUGCUGUCUCCUUUUUCUAAUCAAUGAAACUGAUCUCCCCGUGAAGAAGCGGGGAUGUAAAUAUAAGACGAGAAGACCCUAUGGAGCUUUAAACCAUGUAACACUGGCUUUCACAUUACAUCUUUCAGAAUUAUCAUAAUUACUCUAGCCACUAUGAUUACUAGUUUUAGGUUGGGGUGACCACGGAGCAAAAAUUAACCUCCAUGUUGAACGGAGCUUUUCCUGAGCCCUAAGCCACGACUUUAAGCACUAACAAAUUAACAUUAAUUGACCCAAUAUUUUGAUCAACGAACCAAGUUACCCUAGGGAUAACAGCGCA
This 454-nucleotide ribosomal RNA is filed under the name Dendropsophus aff. minutus. RNAcentral describes it as "partial 16S ribosomal RNA". It matches the Rfam family "Bacterial large subunit ribosomal RNA", at positions 1817 to 2484 of the family's 2925-position model. The record is from RNAcentral. Lineage: Eukaryota; Metazoa; Chordata; Amphibia; Anura; Hylidae.